Molecule: transfer RNA, 64 nt
Filed under: Harpegnathos saltator (Jerdon's jumping ant)
Lineage: Eukaryota; Metazoa; Arthropoda; Insecta; Hymenoptera; Formicidae
Rfam family: tRNA
About the family: Transfer RNA (tRNA) molecules are approximately 80 nucleotides in length. Their secondary structure includes four short double-helical elements and three loops (D, anti-codon, and T loops). Further hydrogen bonds mediate the characteristic L-shaped molecular structure. tRNAs have two regions of fundamental functional importance: the anti-codon, which is responsible for specific mRNA codon recognition, and the 3' end, to which the tRNAs corresponding amino acid is attached (by aminoacyl-tRNA synthetases). tRNAs cope with the degeneracy of the genetic code in two manners: having more than one tRNA (with a specific anti-codon) for a particular amino acid; and 'wobble' base-pairing, i.e. permitting non-standard base-pairing at the 3rd anti-codon position.
Source: Rfam by way of RNAcentral
AGAUAGCUCAGUGAUUUAGAGCAGUCGCCCGGCAAGCGAAAGACUCGGGUUCGAUUCCUGGUCU